AGAGUUUGAUCCUGGCUCAGAUUGAACGCUGGCGGCAGGCUUAACACAUGCAAGUCGAACGGUAGCAGGAAGAAAGCUUGCUUUCUUUGCUGACGAGUGGCGGACGGGUGAGUAAUGCUUGGGAAUCUGGCUUAUGGAGGGGGAUAACUGUGGGAAACUGCAGCUAAUACCGCGUAUUCUCUGAGGAGGAAAGGGUGGGACCUUAGGGCCACCUGCCAUAAGAUGAGCCCGAGUGGGAUUAGGUAGUUGGUGGGGUAAAGGCCUACCAAGCCUGCGAUCUCUAGCUGGUCUGAGAGGAUGACCAGCCACACUGGAACUGAGACACGGUCCAGACUCCUACGGGAGGCAGCAGUGGGGAAUAUUGCGCAAUGGGGGGAACCCUGACGCAGCCAUGCCGCGUGAAUGAAGAAGGCCUUCGGGUUGUAAAGUUCUUUCGGUAAUGAGGAAGGGAUGUUGUUAAAUAGAUAGCAUCAUUGACGUUAAUUACAGAAGAAGCACCGGCUAACUCCGUGCCAGCAGCCGCGGUAAUACGGAGGGUGCGAGCGUUAAUCGGAAUAACUGGGCGUAGAGGGCACGCAGGCGGACUUUUAAGUGAGAUGUGAAAUCCCCGAGCUUAACUUGGGAACUGCAUUUCAGACUGGGAGUCUAGAGUACUUUAGGGAGGGGUAGAAUUCCACGUGUAGCGGUGAAAUGCGUAGAGAUGUGGAGGAAUACCGAAGGCGAAGGCAGCCCCUUGGGAAUGUACUGACGCUCAUGUGCGAAAGCGUGGGGAGCAAACAGGAUUAGAUACCCUGGUAGUCCACGCUGUAAACGCUGUCGAUUUGGGGAUUGGGCUAUAUGCUUGGUGCCCGAAGCUAACGUGAUAAAUCGACCGCCUGGGGGAGUACGGCCGCAAGGUUAAAACUCAAAGGAAUUGACG
Molecule: ribosomal RNA, 919 nt
Filed under: uncultured bacterium
Lineage: Bacteria
Description: bacterial SSU rRNA
Rfam family: Bacterial small subunit ribosomal RNA
Source: RNAcentral